AUCCUGGCUCAGGAUGAACGCUAGCGGCAGGCUUAACACAUGCAAGUCGAGGGGUAACAGGAGAGCUUGCUCUUGCUGACGACCGGCAAACGGGUGCGGAACACGUACACAACCAACCAUGUACAGGAGGAUAGCCCUGAGAAAUUAGGAAUAAUACUCCAUAAGAUAGUAUAUAGGCAUCUAUAAGCUAUUAAAGAUUUAUUGGUAUAUGACGGGUGUGCGUAAGAUUAGAUAGUUGGUGUGGGUAACGGCCUACCAAGUCAACGAUCUUUAGCUGAUGUGAGAGCAUGAUCAGCCACAUGGGCACUGAGACACGGGCCCAACUCCUACGGGAGGCAGCAGUGAGGAAUAUUGGUCAAUGGACGGAAGUCUGAACCAGCCAUGCCGCGUGAAGGAUUAAGGCGUUCUGCGUUGUAAACUUCUUUUGUCUGGGGCGAAAACGUUCUUUUUUAAGAACCUUGACGGUACCAGAAGAAUAAGCACCGGCUAACUCCGUG
This 497-nucleotide ribosomal RNA is filed under the name uncultured Chitinophagaceae bacterium. RNAcentral describes it as "bacterial SSU rRNA". It matches the Rfam family "Bacterial small subunit ribosomal RNA", at positions 16 to 507 of the family's 1533-position model. Lineage: Bacteria; Pseudomonadati; Bacteroidota; Chitinophagia; Chitinophagales; Chitinophagaceae. The record is from RNAcentral.